RNAcentral lists this ribosomal RNA (253 nucleotides) under uncultured bacterium. RNAcentral's name for it is "partial 16S ribosomal RNA". It matches the Rfam family "Bacterial small subunit ribosomal RNA", at positions 524 to 776 of the family's 1533-position model. The record is from RNAcentral.
UACGGAGGGUGCAAGCGUUGUCCGGAAUCACUGGGCGUAAAGGGCGCGUAGGCGGCUCGGUAAGUAGGGGGUGAAAUCCUGCGGCUUAACCGCAGGGCUGCCUUCUAAACUGUCGAGCUCGAGCACGGUAGAGGCAGAUGGAAUUCCCGGUGUAGCGGUGGAAUGCGUAGAGAUCCGGAAGAACACCGGUGGCGAAGGCGGUCUGCUGGGCAGUAGCUGACGCUGAUGCGCGACAGCGUGGGGAGCAAACAGG